ACUCAAAUGAAUUGACGGGGACCCGCACAAGCGGUGGAUGAUGUGGAUUAAUUCGAUGCAACGCGAACAACCUUACCUACCCUUGACAUGUCCGGAAGGCCCCUGAGAGGGGGCUGUGCCUGAAAGGGAACUGGAACACAGGUGCUGCAUGGCUGUCGUCAGCUCGUGUCGUGAGAUGUUGGGUUAAGUCCCGCAACGAGCGCAACCCUUGUCCAUAGUUGCUACGCAAGGGCACUCUAUGGAGACUGCCGGUGACAAACCGGAGGAAGGUGGGGAUGACGUCAAGUCCUCAUGGCCCUUAUGGGUAGGGCUUCACACGUCAUACAAUGGACGGUACAGAGGGUCGCCAACCCGCGAGGGGGAGCCAAUCCCAGAAAGCCGUUCGUAGUCCGGAUUGCAGUCUGCAACUCGACUGCAUGAAGUCGGAAUCGCUAGUAAUCGCGGAUCAGCAUGUCGCGGUGAAUACGUUCCCGGGUCUUGCACACACCGCCCGU
Molecule: ribosomal RNA, 494 nt
Filed under: uncultured bacterium
Lineage: Bacteria
Description: partial 16S ribosomal RNA
Rfam family: Bacterial small subunit ribosomal RNA
Source: RNAcentral